RNAcentral lists this ribosomal RNA (322 nucleotides) under uncultured bacterium. Its description in RNAcentral is "bacterial SSU rRNA". It matches the Rfam family "Bacterial small subunit ribosomal RNA", at positions 28 to 334 of the family's 1533-position model. The record is from RNAcentral.
GAUGAACGCUGGCGGCGUGCCUAACACAUGCAAGUCGAGCGAAGCGCGCCCCGGAAUCCUUCGGGAGGAAGGGUCGCGACUGAGCGGCGGACGGGUGAGUAACGCGUGGGCAACCUGCCCCAUACAGGGGGACAACGGCCGGAAACGGCCGCUAAUACCGCAUGAUUCCUCUUGGCCGCAUGGCCGGGAGGGGAAAGCCGAGACGGUAUGGGAUGGACCCGCGUCUGAUUAGCUGGUUGGCGAGGUAACGGCUCACCAAGGCGACGAUCAGUAGCCGGCCUGAGAGGGCGACCGGCCACAUUGGGACUGAGACACGGCCCAA